CUCAUACUCCCUUCAUCCGAAAAUACUUUUCAUCAAAAUGAAAAAAAAGAUGUAUCUAGAACUAGUUCUAGAUACAUCUCUUUUUAUUCAUUUUGAUGAUAAGUAUUUCAGACGGAGGGAGUAUAAA
Molecule: non-coding RNA, 127 nt
Organism: Triticum aestivum (bread wheat)
Lineage: Eukaryota; Viridiplantae; Streptophyta; Magnoliopsida; Poales; Poaceae
Source: Rfam